UACGGAGGGUGCAAGCAUUAAUCGGAAUGAUUGGGCGUAAAGGGCGCGUAGGCGGGAAUGUAAGUCUGGUGUGAAAUUCCAAAACUCAAUUUUGGAGCUGCAUGAGAAACUACAUACCUUGAGGAUUGGCGGAGGGAACGGAAUUCCACGUGUAGCGGUGAAAUGCGUAGAUAUGUGGAAGAACACCGGUGGCGAAAGCGGUUUUCUAGCUAAGACCAGACGCUGAGGCGCGAGAGCAAGGGGAGCAAACAGG
Molecule: ribosomal RNA, 253 nt
Filed under: uncultured Simkania sp.
Lineage: Bacteria; Pseudomonadati; Chlamydiota; Chlamydiia; Parachlamydiales; Simkaniaceae
Description: partial 16S ribosomal RNA
Rfam family: Bacterial small subunit ribosomal RNA
Source: RNAcentral